RNAcentral lists this ribosomal RNA (490 nucleotides) under uncultured bacterium. Its description in RNAcentral is "partial 16S ribosomal RNA". It matches the Rfam family "Bacterial small subunit ribosomal RNA", at positions 30 to 507 of the family's 1533-position model. The record is from RNAcentral.
AUUGAACGCUGGCGGCAGGCCUAACACAUGCAAGUCGAACGGUAACAGGAAACAGCUUGCUGUUUCGCUGCCGAGUGGCGGACGGGUGAGUAAUGUCUGGGAAACUGCCUGAUGGAGGGGGAUAACUACCGGAAACGGUAGCUAAUACCGCAUAACGUCGCAAGACCAAAGAGGGGGACCCUCGGGCCUCUUGCCAUCGGAUGUGCCCAGAUGGGAUUAGCUUGUUGGUGGGGUAACGGCUCACCAAGGCGACGAUCCCUAGCUGGUCUGAGAGGAUGACCAGCCACACUGGAACUGAGACACGGUCCAGACUCCUACGGGAGGCAGCAGUGGGGAAUAUUGCACAAUGGGCGCAAGCCUGAUGCAGCCAUGCCGCGUGUAUGAAGAAGGCCUUCGGGUUGUAAAGUACUUUCAGCGGGGAGGAAGGGAGUAAAGUUAAUACCUUUGCUCAUUGACGUUACCCGCAGAAGAAGCACCGGCUAACUCCGUG